AGGGACUUAGGUUUAACCAGACCAAGGGCCUUCAAAGCCCUAAGCGGAAGUGAGAAUCUUUCAGUUCCUG
This 70-nucleotide transfer RNA is filed under the name Channa gachua (dwarf snakehead). RNAcentral describes it as "tRNA-Trp". It matches the Rfam family "tRNA". From Rfam's summary of the family: Transfer RNA (tRNA) molecules are approximately 80 nucleotides in length. The record is from RNAcentral. Lineage: Eukaryota; Metazoa; Chordata; Actinopteri; Anabantiformes; Channidae.